UUCAUAUGUUGCCUUGACUCUAAAAUUCGCAAGUCCACGGAGAUUGGCCCGCGGGUGCAAAGGUAGAAGGGAGCGUCUUGCAAGACCCACCCGUCGAGCAGGGACAAAAGUCUGCCUUAGU
RNAcentral lists this ribosomal RNA (121 nucleotides) under Olea europaea subsp. europaea. RNAcentral's name for it is "PK-G12rRNA". The record is from RNAcentral. Lineage: Eukaryota; Viridiplantae; Streptophyta; Magnoliopsida; Lamiales; Oleaceae.